GACCCGUCUUGAAACACGGACCAAGGAGUUUAACAUGUACGCGAGUCAUUGGGUUCUACGAAACCUAAAGGCGCAGUGAAAGUAAAGUCCUCCAUUGGGUGAGGCUGAGGUGCGAUCCGUGCUCCCUCGGGAGUGUGGCGCAGCACCGGCUCGKCGUAUACAUUUUAUGUGCGRCGAAGCAAGAGCGUACAUGCUGAGACCCGAAAGAUGGUGAACUAUGCUUGCGUAGGUCGAAGCCRGAGGAAACUCUGGUGGAGGACCGAAGCGAUUCUGACGUGCAAAUCGAUCGUCAAACGUGAGUAUAGCGGCGAAAGACUAAUCGAACCAUCUAGUAGCUGGUUCCCUCCGAAGUUUCCCUCAGGAUCGCUGGCACUUUCAAACAGUUUCAUCCGGUAAAGCGAAUGACUAGAGGUAUUGGGGGCGAAAUGCCCUCAACCUAUUCYCAAACUUGAAAUGGGUGAGAGCCCAGACUCUCUUAACUGGAGUCUGGGYUAGCAGAAUGUGAGUGCCCAGUGGGCCAUUUUUGGUAAGCAGAACUGGCGAUGCGGGAUGAACCGAACGUGGCUGUUACGGUGCCUAACAUGACGCUCAUGAGACACCACAAAAGGUGUUGGUUGAUAUAGACAGCAGGACGGUGGCCAUGGAAGUUGGAAUCCGCUAAGGAGUGUGU
Molecule: ribosomal RNA, 670 nt
Rfam family: Eukaryotic large subunit ribosomal RNA